UGUGUAAUUUAAAAGAGCGACUGGCAGCUCGCAGCCGGCUCGCCUCGGGGCACUGCUGCCUUCAUGGGCAUUUAGAGGGGAAAGAAUCGGCCUAUAACUAAUUGCUUUCAACCCCCCCUCCCAGUAAUACACGGGAAACUUUCCUCUGCACGAACGGCACAUGUCCCCCCACCCCAGGCCUGGGCUUGCGGGGACGGGCACGAUGGGGGCAGUUUUUCUUCGAAAUGAUCUAACUUUGUACGAAGUUGGAAUCACAUGGGCGUGUGUGUGUGUGUGUCUCUCUCUGUGUGUGUUAUUUUAGGGGAUAAUCUGUGCACCUUGGCUAGUGUGUAUCUUGUAGGUCACAAAUAUUCACGGUGUGUGUUGUGUGAUAUUCUGAGGGAUCAUAUUUUCUUGGUGUAUAUUGUGUUUGUGUUAUUAAAAUAUUGAUUAUGCGUGUGUUGCUUUAAAUGACAACCUAUUCAUUGUGGGUGGCUGUGUAACUGUAGGUGAUAAAAUACUCUCUGGGUGUUGUGUAUUUUGUGUGCAUGUUAUUUUAAAGGGGGUGGCAAAGAUCACUACCUGUGUUGUGCAUUGUGUUACUCUAGGUCAUCAAAUAGUCCCUCUCUGUGUAUUGUUUUAGGGGAUCACUGGGACUGUUGUGUGGGUUUGUGUUACGUUGGGUUAUAACAUAUUGACCACGAGUGUUACUUUAGAUCACAGCAUAUUGGCCCUGUGUUGUGUGUGUUAGUUUAUAAAACAAGGGCUGCAAUAUGGUAUGUGGGUGUUCUUUUAGGUUCUCUUCACAGUUGGUGUUGCGUGUGUUAUUUGACAGGAGAGAAUAUUCCCUGGUUGUGUUGUGUGUUACCUUUGUGGGCUCUCUGAGUGUGUGCUUUGUGCGGUUUCUUUUUGUGAAUAAAAUAUUCGCUUGAAAGUUUCUUUGCAUAUUCCACCAAAACUCUGCAGAGGCAGGGCCACGUUGGAGGGGGAGGCUGGAUCGCUUGCUCUGUCCGUAUUGAUUUUUGAUAUUUAUUUAAUUAUUGAGCAGCCAGCCGUCCCUUUGCGUCUGAGUGACCCUUUCCCUGCUGCGGGGCCCACUUGCUCCAGCAAAAUCAGGGGUCCGCAACCUUUCCCAAGUGCUGGGCCAAGUCUUCAUUUGUUCACUCUGAUUUAAGGUUUCGCGUGCCAGUAAUACAUUUUAACAUUUUUAGAAGGUCUCUUUCUAGAAGUCUAUAAUAUAGAACUAAACUAUUGUUGUGUGUAAAAGUAAAUACGGUUUUAAAAUGUUUAAGAAGCUUAAUUUAAAAUUAAAUUAAAAUGCAGAGCCCCCCGGACGGUGGCCAGGACCCGGGCAGUGUGAGUGCCACAGAAAAGCAGCUCACAUGCCAUAGGUUGCCUACCCCUGAAUCUCUCCUCCCUCUGCUCCUUAGUGACUGUGAGGGUCUAUUCUAGGCCUGGGAGCUCCACUGAAAAGAGAGGAGGAGAAAGGGCAAGGACCAAAGGCUCGGUCUGCUCCGGGGUCCCAGCCCCUCAGCUCUCCAGCUGCCCCCCAGAAGGAGGGUGAUGUCAGUGGGGCAGGAGACUAGCAAGACACCCUGCUUGCCUCUCCUUCCGUCUGCCAGUCAGUCCCUCUAGGGCUGGACUUUCCUGUGGCUUUAACCUGAUUCUUGCUUCCCCUUCUUGCAACCCCCACAUCAGGGUCACAUGCUGCCCCCUGCACUGGGUGUGGGUAGGGGCCCACAGAUCUGCACCCACGGGGAGACAGACAAGCCACAGGGACAGGAGGAUCCCUAUGGCUUAGCUGACCACCCAGGAGGCAGUGCCCGGGAGCAGGCUCACCUCCCCUGUCUUAGGUAUCGUGCACAUUGCAGCCGUGUUCCACCUGCCUGUGUCUCUUGGAGAAAGGGGGAGAGAAGCCCCUGGGUUUUGGUCUCGCCUCUUUUACUGGCCUUAGUAUUUCUGGGCAAUUCCUGAGACAGGCCUCAGGUUCCUGCCCCAGGAGCCAGGCGACGGUCGUUCCCCCCCACAUUUUGCAAAUAAGGCAACUGAGUUUGCACAAGGCCGCGUCUGGAAAUAGAACCAAGGGUCUCAGAUGCCAAAGCUACAUCUCAUUGACUCAGCCAUGCUGCCUUUGGGAAGGAAGGUGCCAGAUCUGUGUGCUUGACUUUGCUGGCUACAAUCAUUGCUCUAACCACUAGACCAUGCUCUGCUCACCGCUCCAGGAAGGGAACCCGAGAAGCCUGAUACCCCACCACAGCCAUGCACUGUGUAGCCUGCUGGCAAAGUGUGUGUCCUGUCCCUCUCUGGAGCUGCAGUGGGACAGGCCUGUGGCUGGAAACGAAGGGCCUAGAUUCGCAGACGGCUAUUGAGCCUAGACGGUGUGCGAUCACAUAGUUAAACACAUGCGAGAGGCUGCAGAAUUAAGGCUGCAUGAGUGACAUUAACUGUCGUGCUUCCUCAGUUUCCACUUUCUAACCUUAAAGAUCUUUAACCCAGCAGCUCUUUCCUUCUCUCCAUCCUUCCUCUCCCCAUGCACACGCCUCGCCCCCUAGACAGCCCCUCCUAGGUUAGCACUUGCCAGGGACCAAAUGUCUUGGGGGGCUAGUAGUGGCCUGUCAGUCACCACUAGCCCAGUGCAGCAAGGACAACAAUUGUGCCCAUCGAGUGGGUCUCUCCCACCGUGUCAGGGGACUGAAACAAGCCAGGAGCAGAAGUUCCCACGCAUGCCCGGCAGGGAGCCUCAUUUGGCUUGGGGAGCUGCCAGAAUAUGCCAAACCCCGAUCUGCGCUCUGCCUUCCCGGCGAUGUGGACCUGCCCCAGGUUUGGGCUUUGCAGGGCUCCCCACAGACAGCUCCCUCUGCCCUCGCUCGUGGGCCAGGAGAGUCCCCUCGACGAGCAGCAGCUCUGGGAUUGUCCCUUCCCUGCCAGAGCUCAUCCAAGGCUUGUGUUGCACUAAAAUAGCCCUGGCACCUCUGCCUAGUGCAGCGCUGGCCAGGGCUCUGCAGUGCCGGGCUUGGUUCCGAUCCAGAAGCACGAUGACGCGAUUGCACACGGUCCAGCUCUCUCUCCCUGACUAGGGGCUUCCCUCCACCGAGACCCAGGUUCAUGCCUAUCUCCUCGGACAGCAGCGUGAGCUAGCAGUUAAUGCACCGCGCUCCCAGCUCUGCCACUGGCUCCUGGGGUGUGAUCUCAGGCAAAACACUUCCUCCCCCUCUGCACCUUGGUUUAUCCAUCUGUAAAAUGGGGCAGUGAUAGUCACCUACCUCCACGCGGGGUGGAGAGGGAGAACUCUGAGGCUAAAUUAAUAACUGCAAAGUGCUUUGAGAUCCUCAGCUGGAAGGUGCCUUAGAUGAGCAAUUUAUUAUGAGUGCAAUUGAUUAUUAUUAUUAAUGCAAGGAGCCCCUAGUGUGUGCAAUACGUUCGGCCUGCAGAAGCAAGAAAGCAUGUGACCUGCUGAUUAAUUAUUAUUUAUUAUUAUUUCUGGUUGUGUCCAUCCAGCCCCUGGUUUGCAGACAAGGUAGGACUGUCCCAGCCAGGGGUAACUCUAGAUAAUACCAAGUCCUGCCCUGAGUGCAGGGGACUGGACUAGACGACCUCUCAAGGUCCCUUCCGGUCCUACGAUUCUAUGAACUCUUACCCUGAGUUCCUAAAGCUAUUUCUGAGCAGCGAAUAUUUCCCCGUUGAAAUCCAUCAGAGGCACCAAAUCACAGUCUCUCCCCCGCCCCCCCCCCCAAAAAAAGGAAAGAAAAAUGCUCCUGGGGAAGAUUCCUAUAGCUUAAGGCCAGAGGGACCACUGUAAUCAUCUAGUCUGAUGCCUUCAUAGCACAGGCCAGAGAAUCCACCCAGGGGUUCCUGCAUCGAGCCACGGCAGCUUCAGCUCCCACCUCUGGCCCUUGUGCAGUCAGUGACCAGUGCCUGGGGAGUGUAAAGCACCUGCCAUGCUGGAGGGCAGGAGAAUUGGGCCUCUGGCGUUCGCUCCCUCGUUGGUAUUCCAGUUCUUGGCCUGGGACAGGCUUUUCCUCUGGGUUUACCCCGCAUCAGGGAAUCCAUAUCAGCUGCGCUUUCCUCUUCUGCAGAGGGGUUUGGUCAUGUCUCCCGGAUGCUCGUCUCCGGUCUUGGUCCCACGUUUGGUGUCGCAGAGCUGAGGAGACGCUUGCAGGGUUUCAGAGACGAAUAAAGUGAAGUUCAGGGCCAUAAUCUGCAUUCGGGUGCAAGUCUGGAGGUGCCUGGAUCCCGGGUCCUGGGUGGACCCACCUCUGCUUCUGGGGAAGAUCCAGGGAACUAACCGUGUGCAACCGCUGACCAGGGGAGCCCUGUAUGGGUUUUUAAAACUCCCAGAGAAGGAGGUCGUUGCCCAGCAUCACCCAAGGGGUAGGAGCCAUGGGGGGAAGUAUGUGGUCAAAAGGAAAUGCAGCACCUGUGUGGGGAGCAGUGCGGCUUUGAAUUAGGUGCGUAUGGACGUGUGGAAAGGUGAAAUCGGGCUUUCCCAUGUGUCAUUGCUACAGCUCUCUGAUACUGACCUUGGCCCGGGGAACCACAAGAUCUUGUAGUCUCACUUGAUAAGCCCCCACUUCUGAGCCCCUGGCUCUUGAAUUCUCCCCCACACCCCUUGGCUAGGUCUUUAUCUGGGUGGGGGAGGGACAGGAGAUGUGCUUGGUGGUUGUGCUGUUUUGUCCUCCUUUCACAGCCCAUGUGGGGGCUUAUGUGAAGGGGGUCGGAUGCCGAGCUCCACUCACAUUGAGGCUCUGCUGGUUUACUCCCGCUGGGCCCAUUCAUGCCUUCAGCCCAGGGACACGUGACUUACCCUGACGUCAGGCGGAGGAGCACCAGGUUCCCCCGGGUGUGGGUAUCCGUGAAGAAAAUAGUCCCCUAAGAGGGAGUGCCUUGAAAAACUCACUUCAAAUGAACCUCAGUUGAAUUGUGUUGGAAAAUGACUUGGCAGGGCUGGUGGCUCCGAGCCCAGGUCUGAGAGUGCUGUCUGGCUUGGCUCCAGGGCCCUGCGGGGCUCGGCCUCAGGUAUUCAAAAAGAGGAGCCCUGGUACCUCUUCGCAAGGGGAGGUCAGAGGAGAUGAGACAGCCGCUCAGGCAGUGAAUUCCAGCAGUGAUCUCAGAUCAUGUGCUGAACCAUGAGGGGUAACUAGCUAGGAACUCGUGGGUUGUGUGUGUGGGGGGGAAGGUUGCAACAUACUUUCGAUUCUCCCAUCUGCUGCGCAUUGUUUGGGAAAAACAAUGGGCCCCUUCUUUAAAUGUAACCUUUGCGUGCCCAUGUCAUGUUCUCCCACUGUCUGUGCCCGUUCUCCACCGUGCAGGCCGGGGUCUCGGCCAUGUCUCCCAGCCGUGCCCUCAUGCCCUCAUGCUCUGCAGUGGCUUAGCAGAGAUUUGGCUCCUUCUGUCUGGUCUAAUUUUAAAAGCUGGGUCGGUAAAAAUAGAUCCCCUUUUUAGUGCAGUUUAUGAACCCGGAUACGAGCAGGCAACAGAGCCUGCAGGGAGCUCAGAUCCGGAGCUGGGGAGACGUGGGGUGCAGGGAUGGGUCGGAUCAGUAACAUGGAGAUAGCAGGGUCUUGCACUGCGUGUUUCAGUGUAUGGCUGUAUAUGUGUGUGUCUGUGCAUCGGAGCUAGCUUCCUCUCUCAGCUCCCCCAGGGAAAUUCUAUUGACUUCCGGGGAGUUGGGUCCUCCGGAAUACAUCACAGAUUGUUUAGUUACCCCCUUUGGACACUGUUUGUUUAAAACCAGUGGCCCGAUAUGAUUCUGGUUUACAAACUGCAUCAGUUCCGAUGGACUCACACAGUAUAACUAAGAGCCGACUUGGGCUCCAUACAUGAAAUUAUUAACCCUCAUCUGGGUUACCAAAAUACCCUUCAAUAAUUAAUGUUAGGCAUCUAAUUUUCUUUUCCUCCUUUCUGCGGUUGGUUUAUUUGCAGCAUUUUGCUCAGCCUGGCAAUGAAAACAGACUCCUCAGAUUCUCAUGUGCUGGCACCAUACUGCAAUGUUUGGGCUGCUGAGCUGCAAAGAGCGGGUGGGGAGAUUACAUUAAAAUUAAAAAACCGGCUUCCAAUGACAUUUGGGAGAAAAUCAAGAGAGGAUUUCUAUUAAUCGGCGAUUUUAAUAAACAAAAUCUCAAUGUCGGGCCUGAAUUACCUGACAGUGUCUCUUUAAGGGCGCUGGGAGCUGAUAAACAUGGUCUGUGGCUUUAAUUUAGGGCAUGCUGGUUACAGGAGCAUUCUGGGAGCUGUAGUUCAAAUGGCCUCAGUGACAUCGCUUCCUGGUGUUGCUCACUUUUACUCUUCCCAGAGGCUCUGGCAGUUCGGUUAGUGCUGGUCCCAAGCAGUGAAAUCAGGAUCUGGAUUAGGAAUGUUGGGAGGUUAUAGCUGGGUACUGGAUUCAAAACCUUUGGAAGUGUAGAGGUGACCCGAGGAACAGAGAAAUGCACCGUUUCUUUUGCAUCUAGAUGAUGGCUAAAGAGGGCCUGGAAAUUGUUGUGUGUUCUCUUUGAUUUUUUUCCGUGAGAAGCUCAGGUCCCGUCUAGUGUGGAAUAGUCUGUGCAUAAAUGGAAGUCGGGUUGUUGAGCGAGGGAGAGAUUUGUAGGUGCACGGCUGUAACUAUGCAGGUGCACGUUAAAUCUGCCACCUCCUCGCCCCCAGUGUGGACACAGUUACCUUGGACUGGAAGGGCUAAGACACCUUUACACCCGCACUCACACCAGGGCUUGUGAGAUGUAACAGUCCCGAUGUUGCUCUACUGGGAAAAGUGCCGUGUGGAGAGCAGGCAGUUUAACGCCGAGUUACCCCAGGCUCUGAACCUGGCAUUGCCCCUACCCAGCUCCUGUCCACAAAAAAAACCCUCUCCCCCAAGGGGGGUAGUGUUUGAGCCCUGUGCUGAGCCGCCCAGCCGGAGGGUGGGUCAGAGUUCAGGCUCUGCCCUGACUCAGGCUGGGAAACCGCUUUGCAAUGUGACUGAGGCCAAACCGCUCUGUGCUGCUAGUCCUCCAACGCCUGCCCACAGUCCCCCGCUGUGUCCAGUAGGACAGACGGGUUCUCCCACACUUGGCUGGGAAGGAAUCACCAAGCAGCUCUGCUCACUACAGCAGGGAGCCCCUGGGAUACGUCCUAGCAACACGUGGGGGAAGCGCAGUGCCAGCGAGGGGACAGCCUCUUGGGUAGGGCUUUGCAGCAGGGCUGCUCACACCCAGGCAAGGCUCAGACCCAGGCGCCGAGCACUCCGGAUGCUCUGCGGUGAGAUGGAGCCUUUGGCUUUGGUUUGGUCUGAUUCACCCCCAGUGAACUCCAGCGGUGGAGAAAGCCUUUGCUAAAGACUCAGCACCCUGGGUAGAGAGGGUACAAGACGCAUCCUAACAAGGCCUCCACGUUCUUGCAAUACCGGAUAUUUCGGCACUUCCCACCCCUGCCUGCCUGCCCCGCCCCCAGCAGCAUGCCUAUUAUGCACGGUGCGCGUGAGGUCACGCUGGUGGAGUUGGAGCAGUGCACUCUUCCAAAGGGCGUCCCCUGGCCAGUACCGGACAGAACCAUGUCUGGUUAUCACCCGGUACCGGAGAGGGGACAGAGCAGCCCAAAGGAGACCCCGUCUGGCGUAAAACCGGGCAAGCGGCCAUCCUAUCUCCAGCAAGGCCAGGGACGAUCAGAGCGGAUGUGCCUGAUACUUACCCAGUAAAACCAAGUGCAGUGUGUGUGUGUGGGGCGGGCUUGCCAGGCUUUCUUGAGUGAUCCCUUUAAAAAGGAGGUGGGUCCAUGUGCUAUUUAAAGACCCCAGCCUAAUUCUUCUCCGGUGAGAGAGUUCGAGUCCCCGUCCUCUCCUGUUCCUGGUGCCUUGAACUCCGUUCUGGUGGGCAGUGAUUCCACUGGACUAGCCCAGCGGGUUUACUUCAUUGCAAACCCUGGUGCUGUGAAAGGGAGUUGAAGAUGGGAAUGCUAUUAUCCACGGUAUUCUAGCACUGCAGUGACCCCAACCACUGUGCCCUUUACACACACGUGGUGAGAACGUCCCUACUCCUGGGGGCUCACAAUCUAAACAGACAAAGGGAAACCGAGGCACGGAAAUGUACCUAAGUUCACAAAACAGGUCAGUGGCUGAACCCUUCACAGUACCCCCUUUUCCUGGCUCCUCAGUCUAGUGCCCUAACCCCAAGACGAUGAUGACUUGAGCUCACGUGACUUUAUUCAAACACACAAAAACUUUGGUGACAUUUGCCCUGCCGAUCGCAUCUCAUUGGUGCAUCUCAUUUGUCCGUGCUGUUUCCAUAUAGACCCUGGGGAUGAAAUGCAGCCGCGUGCAGAGUCAGUGCCGGGGCGAUGCAGGGCUCCAGCCCUGGUCUGAGGUCUCGGUGGGGACCUCAGCAGCUCGCUGAAUGCUGGAAUGCACAAUGGGGAAUUUCACCCUGUCGGAACAAGAGGCGAAAACCAAACUCCCUCUCCAAACUUUGGGCAAGGUUUGACCUGGGGCUGAACUUUGUGGCUCAGGUUCCCUCUCUAAUUAUAAGGAGAUCAUCAGAGUCAGGCCCUCUAUUUCUGAUCCCAACAUUUUUUGAACGCACACGCCCACCCCAUGCGUUUUAUAAGCCUGUAAUUUUUCAGCUGGCAGAUCCGGCCUGGCAAACAAGCCACUGGGACUUUCCUUUCUUGGUUUGUGUUGUCACCAGGGAUACGGCCGACUCCCUUGGAGUUGUGGGUAGCUGAUUCUCUGUGUAGCGCCAGAGUAAAUCACUUCAGUUUAUUCUGGGGCUCUCAGCUCUCUCCCGUGUCACGUGGGCUGGGAAUCUUUCCGUCUCACUCAUGGCCAAUGGAUUAAUUUGUCCCUGUUCGUUUCCCUCCCCCUUACCCAGAAGCGCUGGGAUUCUGUCUGUGCGAUGGGGUGUGGACGCCCAGCAGGGCAGCCAGCAGUUGGGGUGGCUUGGCCUGGCACUUGCUUCUCCCCCUUACCCCACCAGAGCCGAGCGUUGGAGGCUGCAGCAGCUCUGGUGUUUGCUGCAUCACCCUCCCAGAGGGGCAUGGGGGCGCAUUUCAGUCAUCUCUGACGUGUCAGGAGCUGGGCUUUCCAGGCCCCUGCCCUUCCCUCCCUCCUUCACUCUCACCCAGCCUAUCGGUUCCCCUCCCCCCGUACACCCCAAAUAGCCCAAGCUGCCCUUGUUUGGCCCAAAUCUCUGAGGACACUCAAUUUUCUUGCCUCUGGUUUGCGCGUCUCCUCCUCUCCUCCAGUACAGCCUAGGCGCUGGAGAGCGAGACUCUGAACCUCUUGCGAUGGUGGUUGCAGUUACACAGGGGGACGGGAACCGAAAGCAGCAGGAGGCCCUGUAAGGCUGGUUGGUGGGGCAGCAGGCUGGAUCCAGGCACUGGCAGAAAUCACCCCUGGAGAGAGACUCCGGAUUUACGCCAACACAACCGAGAUCAGCGCCCGCCCCCUGCCGUGCCCUGAUAACACCCAUCGCCCGGGAUGCUCCCCGGAGCUGCGCGUUUGCGGGUGGAGGACAGGAGUUCACUUCCCUUGUGCUGACCUUCAGUUAUCCUGCAUGGCUGAUCCCUGUCCCCAGGCCUCUGCCAGGGGGGGUCAUGCAGGAAGAGUUCUAUUGGCUUUGUUUUCUUUCCUGGGCCCCGGGGCAGGGCGCUUGGGGAGGGGGCUCUGUGCUGCUGUUUGGUUUGAUGUCUUUGGACUCCCUGAAACACAGAGAGAGGGGCUGGGAUUCUGCCAGCCUGGAGCCAGGCAGUGCACCCAGCAUACUGAGCUGGGGCAAUGCAUGUUACACCGAGGAGCAGGGAUCGCCUCAAAAUUCCUUCCUAGGGCUCUGGAACAAGUAAGGAAGACGCUGGUUUCCUGACGGGCCACUCCAUCGGUUGUGCUGAGCCCGGUUCCAGCUGGCCCAGGAGGGGCUAGUGCGAGGAUGAGUGAGAGCCAUGCAGCUCCCUUCAUCCAUCCUCGCUCUGCCCCCUCCUCACGCCAGAUCAGCUCCCCAUGUCUUGGGCCAGUCGGAGUCAGCACGAAAUACGGGGUGGCCCGUCAGGAAACCAGCGUCUUCCUUAGUUGUUCCAAAGCCCUAGGAAGGAAUUUCGAGGUGCUCCCUGCUCCCCGGGUGUAACACAGAUUGAGCCCAUUUUUGUGGUGUGGAAAAUACUGCGCCGGGGAUUGAUUUAUUGAUCAGCUGUUUCUCUAAAAGUGCAUUAAACCAUGGCUUCCCCGUC
Molecule: long non-coding RNA, 10167 nt
Organism: Gopherus flavomarginatus (Mexican gopher tortoise)
Lineage: Eukaryota; Metazoa; Chordata; Testudines; Testudinidae
Exons: 2
Source: RefSeq, a predicted model, not a curated record